Small nuclear RNA from Sorex fumeus (smoky shrew), 107 nucleotides. The record is from RefSeq and is a predicted model, not a curated record. Lineage: Eukaryota; Metazoa; Chordata; Mammalia; Eulipotyphla; Soricidae.
GUACUUGCUUCCACUGUACAUAUAUUGAUAUUUGAAUAAUACAGAGAAUAUUAGUGUGGUCCAUGUGCAAGGAUGAUCCACAAAUUCAGGAAGCAGUCCAUAUUUUA